GACGAACGCUGGCGGCGUGCUUAACACAUGCAAGUCGAACGGAAAGGCCCUGCUUUUGUGGGGUGCUCGAGUGGCGAACGGGUGAGUAACACGUGAGUAACCUGCCCUUGACUUUGGGAUAACUUCAGGAAACUGGGGCUAAUACCGGAUAGGAGCUCCUGCUGCAUGGUGGGGGUUGGAAAGUUUCGGCGGUUGGGGAUGGACUCGCGGCUUAUCAGCUUGUUGGUGGGGUAGUGGCUUACCAAGGCUUUGACGGGUAGCCGGCCUGAGAGGGGGAACGGCGACAUUGGGACUGAGAUACGGCCCAGACUCCUACGGGAGGCAGCAGGGGGGAAUAUGGCACAAUGGGAGGAAGCCUGAUGCAGCAACGCCGCGUGCGGGAUGACGGCCUUCGGGUUGUAAACCGCUUUCGCCUGUGACGAAGCGUGAGUGACGGUAAUGGGUAAAGAAGCACCGGCUAACUACGUG
Molecule: ribosomal RNA, 468 nt
Filed under: uncultured bacterium
Lineage: Bacteria
Description: partial 16S ribosomal RNA
Rfam family: Bacterial small subunit ribosomal RNA
Source: RNAcentral